GAAAUUGUGUCACAGAAUCACAGAAUUGCAGGGAUUGAAAAGGACCUCAAGAGAUCAUAAAGUCCAAGCCCCUUCUAAAGCAGGUUCCCUACAGUAGAUCACACAGGCUGAGGAAGAGCAUGCUGGGCACUUGUACACUGAAAAUCCUUUUGAAUUUUCAGCAGUAACCAUAUUUCUAAAAAUUACACAAGUCUGCAUGCUUUUGUAUGUGUGACAUACUAUUAAUAGAAUAUCUCUGAUCGUGUCCUGUGACUCCAUUCCUGCUAAGAAGAAAUGAAACCCACAGACAGUUCUGUCCUACACACUCUGACCUCUCAAAGGACACAGAUGAGUCACAAGCUUAUGAUGUCUCGCUUCUGAACUGUCUGUUGUUCCAGCAAUUGCAUGGUUAAGAUAAUACAAAAAUAAUACUUGGUGCUGUUCUUCAUGUAUUUGCCAUCCUCCCACAACACCCUGAGGCUGCAAUGAAGAGAACUCUGAAGUGCCUACGGUAUCCAGAGAACAAGGAAACAAUGGAAAAGUCCAUAGCAGAUAUCAUGCAGAUGCUAUCCUGAGCAGCAAUACAUGUACCUCAUUGUUUUGCUUAGGGACACUCAGCAGCAGAUCAUUUCUCACUUCUUUUAGCUACAAACCCUACGUUGAUAAAGAUUUUGUGAAUGUCAAAUGUGCUGCGGUUGUUUCUCCCAGGGCUGCCAAACAUUCCAUCAACAAAUACUGGAAACGGAGUGGCUCUGCUAGGGACAAAAUACAGAAUCAAAUGCUGCAGAAAUCUGGCAGUCCUUUUCUGACUAGAGUCCUUCAUCUUCUGACAGAACUGAUGACUUGGCAGUGCGCUAGACAAUGUGCCAUAUCCCAUGUGAUGAAAGGACGCCAAGGAUCAUCCAUCUCGGUGACACCAGACCUCAUCCCACUGCUUCUAACCAGCUCACAGAAACUGGAGAUUCAACCAAUGGCUAUAUUUUAAUGCAAGUGAACUUGAGAAUAUUACAUAUAAUUUGGACAACUGCAGGGUAUAUGCUUACGUAAGAGAAAUCAAAGGAUUUGCACAAAUGAAUGGCUCAAUAAUCUCAGAGUUAAUUUAUAAUCUGUUAUUGCUUCUUAAAAUAAUUUACAUGCAAACCCAUUUGACAUCAGAUGUAACAGAGCAUAGAGGUCACCCUGGUGUACUUCUCUGUGUGGGUUCUGCUGGAACCCUCUCCUCGUUCUGCAGAAUAGUCCUGCCUUUGCUUUCAAGGGUCCUAUUAUGAAAUAAGUCUGUAGAGUUCAACACCGAAGUUGGUCUGUUUUGGAAGACUUGGAAGAGCUAUCGGCUAAGUAGACUGGUAUUAACAUGCCUUUCACACCUUUGGAACGUCUUAAAUAUUACACAGUAUUGAUGACGUUUUAUCUAUCAUGACUGGAACAGAAAAGAGAGAUCAAAAUAUCAGACUCCUGAUUACAACAGAGGCUUCAGAAUCAUAUGUCUGGUUGUGUAUCUGUCCCUCUAUUCAUAUAUUGUUUGAUCUAGGUAAACAAAAAGUCAUUCCACUUACCAUCAGAGUAAGACAUUUUGGGUAUAGUAACAAGAGUCAUAGUAGGAAUUGUUUAAGUAGGUCUUUUAGAAUUGCCCUUCUUGAAGGAAUCUCUUAUAGAGUAAGCGGAGGCAAAUGCUACACCAUAGAACCAAGGACUACGUGAUUCUGCAACAGAAACAGGAAGAUGAGAAACCAAGAAAUUAAUGACUAAUGGCUUAUCCAUACAGCAUGACAGACUGAAAGCCGGGAGAUUAUAUCAUAUCCACUUACAUCUGCCUUGUACAUGUCAAGGGAGCAUUACUCACCCCACUCCUGAUAGAUGCAGUAUAUGCUAUCAUUUUCUGAGAGCAAACAGAAGCAGAACACCACAUGCAUGAAUACUGUAAAAUAAAACACUUAUAGACACUCCCAUUUAUUUGCUUUGCUUGGUUUACAUGGAAUUAAUGAUUACAACCUGUGCUUGAAUGAUUUAUUAUCUAGAUUUAUAAAGGCUGUAACCUAAGAUGCUCUCACACUUUUCUCCUAAGACACUACUAUUUGUGGCUACUGUUGCAAUGAGUUCUGUCGCCAUCAGGUGCCAGUAAGGAGGUUAGCUCUAAGAAACUUUUAAGUUUCUGUAAGAAAUUACGUUGUUUAGCUUCUUAGACUUUUUCAUCAAGGAUUUUGCAGAGCUCUGUAAAACCCAUUUCCUCUUUCUUCUACCAAAAAAGAACAUGUCUAAAAUGUCAAGUCAUUCCAACAGACCAAUGAAGCCGUGUAAUCUUAAUCUCAAACCUGUAAAUUACAUGUACAAGUGAUGGGUUACCAAAUGACUACAUGUAAGAGUAAUGAACUAUUUUUUCCUUUUUUUUUUUUUUCCUGUGAUUAUUACUGUACAUCGAAACUCAGCAGAAGUCAUUACUUCUGCUUUGGUGAAAAUGUCACCAAAUGAUCUAAAUCUAAAUGAUUUAGAAUGUCUGUUUGCUUGCCAGAGAGUCCAUGUUCAUGAAAGAAUUCAUUGAAUGCUUCUCCAUCUCAAACAGAUUCGAGACUUCACAGAAUCACAGAAUAACAGGGGUUGGAAGGGACCUCAAGGGAUCAUCAAGUCCAACUCCCUGCUAAAGCAGCUUCUCUACAGCAGGUCACAUAGGUAGAUGUCCAGACGGGUUUUGAAUAUCUCCAUAGAAGGAGACUCCACAACCUCUCUGGACAGCCUGUUCCUGUGCUCUGUCACCCUCGGUAUUGAUCCAAUGCACUGCAGCUGCACAAAUGUGUUUCCUGUUGCAAGAAGGGGGUUAGCAUAUCUGUAGGGGCAAUGCAACCUUAUUUUGAAGGCUUAUUUAUUUAUAUAAAUUCUGUGAUGAGUUUCAAGCACAGCUAUAAAC
This is a long non-coding RNA of Gallus gallus (chicken), 2878 nucleotides long. NCBI's taxonomy places the organism in Eukaryota, Metazoa, Chordata, Aves, Galliformes, Phasianidae. The record is from Ensembl.